GGUUAAGCUACAAAGGGCGCACGGUGGAUGCCUUGGCACUAGGAGCCGACGAAGGACGGGACGAACACCGAUAUGCCUCGGGGAGCUGUAAGUAAGCGUUGAACCGGGGAUUUCCGAAUGGGGAAACCCUCUACUCCUUAUCGAGUAGAAUCCAUCCUUGAAUAUAUAGGGGAUGAGAAGGCAGACCAGGGGAACUGAAACAUCUAAGUACCCUGAGGAAGAGAAAGCAAAUGCGAUUUCCUGAGUAGCGGCGAGCGAAACGGAAACAGCCCAAACCAGU
RNAcentral lists this ribosomal RNA (280 nucleotides) under Caldalkalibacillus horti. RNAcentral describes it as "partial 23S ribosomal RNA". It matches the Rfam family "Bacterial large subunit ribosomal RNA", at positions 1 to 278 of the family's 2925-position model. Lineage: Bacteria; Bacillati; Bacillota; Bacilli; Caryophanales; Bacillaceae. The record is from RNAcentral.